This is a small nuclear RNA of Rattus norvegicus (Norway rat), 102 nucleotides long. Lineage: Eukaryota; Metazoa; Chordata; Mammalia; Rodentia; Muridae. The record is from Ensembl.
UUUGUUUUAGCACAAAACAAUACUGAAAUUGGAACAAUACAGAGGUUAGCAUAGCCCCUGAACAAGGAGGGCACACAAGGCUGUGAAGCAUUCCAUAUUAAA